CUGGCGGCGUGCCUAAUACAUGCAAGUCGAACGAGUAGCAAUACCGAGUGGCGAACGGGUGAGUAACACGUAGGUAACCUGCCCUUAAGCUUGGGAUACCCAGAGGAAACUUUGGCUAAUACCGGAUAACAACAGAGAAGGCAUCUUCUUUGCUUGAAAGGCCCCUUCAAGGGUCACUUAAGGAUGGACCUGCGGCGCAUUAGCUAGUUGGUGAGAUAACAGCCCACCAAGGCGAGGAUGCGUAGCCGAACUGAGAGGUUGAUCGGCCACAUUGGAACUGAGACACGGUCCAAACUCCUACGGGAGGCAGCAGUAAGGAGUUUUCGGCAAUGGGGGAAACCCUGACCGAGCAACGCCGCGUGAGCGAUGACGGUCCUUUGGAAUUGUAAAGCUCUGUUGUAAGCCAUGAAUGACAGCUUGAGGAAAUGCAAGUUGUUUGACGACAGCUUACCAGAAAGCCACGGCUAACUACGUGCCAGCCGCCGC
RNAcentral lists this ribosomal RNA (486 nucleotides) under uncultured bacterium. RNAcentral describes it as "bacterial SSU rRNA". It matches the Rfam family "Bacterial small subunit ribosomal RNA", at positions 36 to 518 of the family's 1533-position model. The record is from RNAcentral.